Molecule: ribosomal RNA, 809 nt
Filed under: Streptomyces sp.
Lineage: Bacteria; Bacillati; Actinomycetota; Actinomycetes; Kitasatosporales; Streptomycetaceae
Description: bacterial SSU rRNA
Rfam family: Bacterial small subunit ribosomal RNA
Source: RNAcentral
CGAACGAUGAACCUCACUUCGGGAGGGGAUUAGUGGCGAACGGGUGAGUAACACGUGGGCAAUCUGCCCUGCACUCUGGGACAAGCCCUGGAAACGGGGUCUAAUACCGGAUAUGAGCCUGGGAGGCAUCUCCCGGGUUGUAAAGCUCCGGCGGUGCAGGAUGAGCCCGCGGCCUAUCAGCUUGUUGGUGAGGUAACGGCUCACCAAGGCGACGACGGGUAGCCGGCCUGAGAGGGCGACCGGCCACACUGGGACUGAGACACGGCCCAGACUCCUACGGGAGGCAGCAGUGGGGAAUAUUGCACAAUGGGCGCAAGCCUGAUGCAGCGACGCCGCGUGAGGGAUGACGGCCUUCGGGUUGUAAACCUCUUUCAGCAGGGAAGAAGCGAAAGUGACGGUACCUGCAGAAGAAGCGCCGGCUAACUACGUGCCAGCAGCCGCGGUAAUACGUAGGGCGCAAGCGUUGUCCGGAAUUAUUGGGCGUAAAGAGCUCGUAGGCGGCUUGUCACGUCGGAUGUGAAAGCCCGGGGCUUAACCCCGGGUCUGCAUUCGAUACGGGCAGGCUAGAGUUCGGUAGGGGAGAUCGGAAUUCCUGGUGUAGCGGUGAAAUGCGCAGAUAUCAGGAGGAACACCGGUGGCGAAGGCGGAUCUCUGGGCCGAUACUGACGCUGAGGAGCGAAAGCGUGGGGAGCGAACAGGAUUAGAUACCCUGGUAGUCCACGCCGUAAACGGUGGGCACUAGGUGUGGGCAACAUUCCACGUUGUCCGUGCCGCAGCUAACGCAUUAAGUGCCCCGCCUGGGGAGUACG